Non-coding RNA from Klebsiella pneumoniae IS43, 226 nucleotides. NCBI's taxonomy places the organism in Bacteria, Pseudomonadati, Pseudomonadota, Gammaproteobacteria, Enterobacterales, Enterobacteriaceae. The record is from Rfam.
AAAGUCCCCGACCAUUGAAGGACCAGCAAUCCACAAGGUCCCCGAGUCAUGCGUUGCAUACCGCGAGGUAUGGGGCGAAGCGUUGACAGGGGUGUUGACAGGCCAGCCAUUGAGCCACGAAAUGUAUAUUAAAUUACCGGGUGCCGACGUUGUACUGUUAACGGAAGGCAACAUCAUAGGGUGCGAUACUGCGAGUGCCACAUGGACCCGGCGGGGUCUGAGACCC